Molecule: long non-coding RNA, 411 nt
Organism: Pan troglodytes (chimpanzee)
Lineage: Eukaryota; Metazoa; Chordata; Mammalia; Primates; Hominidae
Exons: 3
Source: RefSeq, a predicted model, not a curated record
GUGGAGAUGAUUAGCGUUAUGCAGUGUUUUAAGUGGAUAAUCAGAACACUUGUGCUCACCACAAUAACAAGAGUGCCAGCCUCCUCACCUUGUCAUGACUGUAAAAGCUGGAUUAAAUGGGCUUGUCUAUAUUGGGUGCCUAGUUACCAGGCUGCUUCCAAAGUGGAUACUGUGGCCAUCAGUGACUCCUUCCUUGACCUCAACAAUAGGGACUAUGCGUCCAGAAAUGAUUCUACCCAUGGCAAGUUCAACGGCAUCAUCAAGGCUGAGAACAGUCCCAUCCAAGACCCAUGAAGAAGGAAGGACCUGAGAGUCUUCCCUUGUUGAAUACCAUUGCUGCCAUCAAGAAAAUUUCCACUGUGUACAAUACGGGUGCAGUUAAGAAAAUAAAACACAUGGAGACACAUGAAA